UACGGAGGGUGCAAGCGUUAUCCGGAUUCACUGGGUUUAAAGGGUGCGUAGGCGGGUUGGUAAGUCCGUGGUGAAAUCCCCAAGCUUAACUUGGGAACUGCCGUGGAUACUAUCAAUCUUGGAUAUCGUGGAGGUAAGCGGAAUAUGUCAUGUAGCGGUGAAAUGCUUAGAUAUGACAUAGAACACCAAUUGCGAAGGCAGCUCACUACACAAUCAUUGACUCUGAGGCACGAAAGCGUGGGGAUCAAACAGG
This 253-nucleotide ribosomal RNA is filed under the name uncultured bacterium. RNAcentral's name for it is "partial 16S ribosomal RNA". It matches the Rfam family "Bacterial small subunit ribosomal RNA", at positions 524 to 776 of the family's 1533-position model. The record is from RNAcentral.